CAAUGGGGGAAACCCUGNAUGCAGCGACGCCGCGNUGGAGGAAGAAGGUCUUCGGAUUGUAAACUCCUGUUGUUGAGGAAGAUAAUGACGGUACUCAACAAGGAAGUGACGGCUAACUACGUGCCAGCAGCCGCGGUAAAACGUAGGUCACAAGCGUUGUCCGGAAUUACUGGGUGUAAAGGGAGCGCAGGCGGGAGAACAAGUUGGAAGUGAAAUCCAUGGGCUCAACCCAUGAACUGCUUUCAAAACUGUUUUUCUUGAGUAGUGCAGAGGUAGGCGGAAUUCCCGGUGUAGCGGUGGAAUGCGUAGAUAUCGGGAGGAACACCAGUGGCGAAGGCGGCCUACUGGGCACCAACUGACGCUGAGGCUCGAAAGUGUGGGUAGCAAACAGGAUUAGAUACCCUGGUAGUCCAAGGGCGAAUUC
This 424-nucleotide ribosomal RNA is filed under the name uncultured bacterium. Its description in RNAcentral is "SSU rRNA". It matches the Rfam family "Bacterial small subunit ribosomal RNA", at positions 369 to 808 of the family's 1533-position model. The record is from RNAcentral.